AGUGAACGCUGGCGGUAGGCCUAACACAUGCAAGUCGAACGGCAGCACAGUAAGAGCUUGCUCUUACGGGUGGCGAGUGGCGGACGGGUGAGGAAUACAUCGGAAUCUACUUUUUCGUGGGGGAUAACGUAGGGAAACUUACGCUAACACCGCAUACGACCUACGGGUGAAAGCAGGGGAUCUUCGGACCUUGCGCGAUUGAAUGAGCCGAUGUCGGAUUAGCUAGUUGGCGGGGUAAAGGCCCACCAAGGCGACGAUCCGUAGCUGGUCUGAGAGGAUGAUCAGCCACACUGGAACAGAGACACGGUACAGACUCCUACGGGAGGAAGCAGUGGGGAAUAUUGGACGAUGGGCGAAAGCCUGAUCCAGCCAUACCGGGUGGAUGAAGAAGGACUUAGGGUUGUAAAGCCCUUUUGUUGGGAAAGAAAAGCAGCAGGUUAAUACCCCGCUGUUCUGACGGUACCCAAAGAAUAAGCACCGGCUAACUUCGUG
RNAcentral lists this ribosomal RNA (492 nucleotides) under uncultured bacterium. Its description in RNAcentral is "partial 16S ribosomal RNA". It matches the Rfam family "Bacterial small subunit ribosomal RNA", at positions 29 to 507 of the family's 1533-position model. The record is from RNAcentral.